This is a long non-coding RNA of Fukomys damarensis (Damara mole-rat), 2792 nucleotides long. The record is from Ensembl. Lineage: Eukaryota; Metazoa; Chordata; Mammalia; Rodentia; Bathyergidae.
AUGGCAGAGGAUGACAGGGCCCACGGGGCUGGCACCAGCUUUGGCCCAGGCCUCCUGCAAGAACAAAGUGUCACCAGGUUGGAGAAGCUGAGGCCCUCGGGCUGUGCCGAGGCUACACCCGAAGCAGUCCGAAUCCUGUUUUGCUUUGCACUUCCGACCUGCCGUCCGCCGGGCCAGGAGCCACGCGCCAAGGAGGACGCACCAGCCUUGAACUCUGCGCGGAGCGGUCCCCAGAGGUGGCCCUGGCCUUACAGUUUCCGAGCUUGUUUAUUUUCAAAGAAACGUUGCCAGACCGCGCGGCCAGCCCUGCCUUUUUACAGUUUGUUUCAUGCAGCAGAUUUCAGGAAGAGGAGGGAGAGGUAAUGAGGUCAGAGGCCAAUCCAUCUGCGGGUGAAAACCUGCAGGACGCCUGGCUGGGGGCUCCAGGGGGCAUGCAGGGGUGGGGGGCAGGUGGCUGAGUUGCAAAGUGGGGCAAGGACAUCCCCUACCCCGGAACCCCACGAAUGCUGAGGGUGUUUUUUUGCUUUUUUUGUUUUUUUUUGGUACCGGGGAUUGAACUUGGAUCCUUGCACUUGCAAGGCAGGCCACCGAACCACUGAGCUAAAUCCCCAGCCCUGUUUUGUUUUGCUUUUUGAGACAGGGUCUCACUAUGUAGUUGAGGCUGACUUGGAACUCACUGUGUAGCCCAGGCUGGUCUCGAACUCACAGUGAUCCUCCUGCCUCAGCCUCCCAAGUGCUGGGAUUACAGGGGUGCGCCACUACACCCAGCCUGAGGGUGUUUUUAAUAAUUACAUUCACCAAGCAAUGCUGGAAUAAUGGGACAUCUGUGCCUGAAGAUAAUGACUCCAUGCCUUGGACCAUAGGCAAAAAUGUAACACACAAAACCAAUGACUUUUUCUUUUCUUUUGUUUUUUCAAGACAGGGUCUCGCUACAUAGUUCAGGUUGGACUUUAACUCAUGGAAAUCCUCCUGCCUCAGCCUCCUGACUGCUGGGUUUAUAGGCAUGCACCACCAUGACUGGCGAAACCAAAAUUUUUAGGGGAAAAUAUAGAAAGAAAUCUUUGUGAUCUCAGGUUAAGCAAGACUUUUUGUUUUAGACAUUACACUAAAGUAUUAACUGUAGCCAGGUGUGGUGGUGCACUUCUGUAGUCCCAGCACUCUGGAAGCUGAGGCAGGAGGAUCACAAGUCUAAGUCCAAUUUAGGCAACUUUUUUGAGACCUUAUCAGAAUAAAUCAUAAAAAAGGCCUGGAGCUGUGGCCAGUGCGUGUGAAGGGGGCACUGACCAUGUGGAGCUUGGCUGAGGGUGCAGAGCACCUAGGGUUUGCACACACUGCAGGUGGGAACAUAAAGCAUGUGGCCACAUUUGCAAAAGAGUGUCGCACAGAUGAUCUCAGUGUGCUGGAGGCUGAGGCAGGAGAAUCACAGAUGCAAGGUGAGCCUAGGCAAUUUAGUGAGACUUUGUCUUAAAAUUGUAUUUAUUUAUUUAUUGCAGAACCAGGGAUCGAACUCAGGAACUUACACUUGCCAGGCAGGUGCUGGUGCCACUGAGCUAAAUCUCUGGGCCUGUCUUAAAUUUUAAAAAAGGAAACAAUAAAAAGAGCUGGGGGUGUAGCUCAGUGCAAAAGCCCUGGGUUCAAUUCCCAGUUCCACCACCACCAAAAAGAAAGGAGAAAUACUAUACAGCAGUAAAAAAGAACCUCAGAGUUGGGUGUGGUGGCGCAUGCUUGUAAUCCCAGCACUUGGGAGGCUGAGGCAGGGGGAUUACUGUAAGUGAGAGACCAGCCUGGGCUACAUAGUGAGUUCCAGGUCAGUCUCAACUACCCAGUGAAACCCUGUCUCAAAAAAACCAAAAAAAAAAAAAAAAAAAAAAAAAAAAAAAAAAAAAAGAACCUCAGAGACAUACUACAGGGAAACACGUUAGAUCCAUUAUGCUAAGUGAAAGAAGCCAGACUCAAGGCCACUUAUUAAAUGAUUGCAUUUAUUUAUCUUUGUAUGUAUUUUGAGAUGGGGUCUCUCUGUAUAAUCCAGGCUGGCCUGGAAGUCAAGAUCCUCCUGCCUCAGCCUCCCCAGUACUGUAAUAAUAGGCAUGUGCCCCUCUACCUGGCUUAUUGAUUUAUUUACUGAGACAGCUUUUUCUUUUUAUGUUGCCUCUUGUGAGCUUAAGCCAUCCUCCUGCCUCAGCUUCCCAAGUAGCUAUGAUUAUAGUCUACUACCGUACCACUUUAUUUUUUUCUUAUUCAGGAAACAACCUAGAGUUUUCUGCAUGUUAGGCAAGCACUCUGUCACUAGGUUACAUAUUCAGCCAUUUUUAUUUUAUUUUUUGGUGGUCUUGUUAAAUUGCUCUGGCUGGUCUCAAUCUUGGGAUCCUCCUGCCUCAGCCUCCCAAGUAGUUACAAUUAUAGGAAUAUUUGGGCCAUCAUGACUGACUGCUAAACAGAGUCUCUACCACUGAGUCACACCCCCAUCCUUGAGUGAUUCCAUCUAGAAGCAUUCUGGAAGAGGCAAAACAAGAUACAGAACAGUAGUUUCCUGGGGCUGGGGUGGAUGUUGUGGGAACUGCUCCCCAGUGGGGUGUCACUUGCCUUGUCAAACUCCUGGGGCUGAAUGCUAAAAAGAGAGCUUUAUGUAAAUUAUACCUCUAUAAAACAGAGUGAGAAAACCAUUGGCAAACACUGUGUCAAACAUCUUUUCAAGUUGUUUCUAUCUUUUUUUUUUUUUUUUUGGGUUUUCGAGACAGGGUCUUACUCUGUAGUUGAGUCUGACCUGCAACUCACUAUGUAGCUCAGGCUGG